RNAcentral lists this ribosomal RNA (460 nucleotides) under uncultured bacterium. RNAcentral describes it as "partial 16S ribosomal RNA". It matches the Rfam family "Bacterial small subunit ribosomal RNA", at positions 338 to 795 of the family's 1533-position model. The record is from RNAcentral.
CCUACGGGAGGCAGCAGUGAGGAAUAUUGGUCAAUGGGCGGGAGCCUGAACCAGCCAAGUCGCGUGAGGGAAGACGGUCCUAUGGAUUGUAAACCUCUUUAGGCGGGGAGCAAUGCCGGGCACGCGUGCCCGGAGGGAGAGUACCCGCAGAAUAAGCAUCGGCUAACUCCGUGCCAGCAGCCGCGGUAAUACGGAGGAUGCGAGCGUUAUCCGGAUUGAUUGGGUUUAAAGGGUGCGGAGGCGGAUUUUUAAGUCAGCGGUAAAAUGUCCGGGCUCAACCCGGGCCGGCCGUUGAAAGUGGGGAUCUUGAGUGGGCGAGAAGUAUGCGGAAUGCGUGGUGUAGCGGUGAAAUGCAUAGAGAUCACGCAGAACUCCGAUUGCGAAGGCAGCAUACCGGCGCCCGACUGACGCUGAGGCACGAAAGCGUGGGGAUCGAACAGGAUUAGAUACCCCGGUAGUC